GCCGGGCGCGGUGGCGGGUGUCUGUAAUCUCAGCUACUCGGGAGGCUGAGGCAGGAGAAUCGCUUGAACCCAGGAGGCUGAGGCUGCAGUGAACCGAGAUUGUGCCACUGCACUCCAGCCUGGGUAACAGAGCAAGACACUGUCUCAG
This 148-nucleotide non-coding RNA is filed under the name Homo sapiens (human). Lineage: Eukaryota; Metazoa; Chordata; Mammalia; Primates; Hominidae. The record is from Rfam by way of RNAcentral.